This 465-nucleotide ribosomal RNA is filed under the name Vreelandella stevensii. RNAcentral's name for it is "partial 16S ribosomal RNA". It matches the Rfam family "Bacterial small subunit ribosomal RNA", at positions 338 to 795 of the family's 1533-position model. The record is from RNAcentral. Lineage: Bacteria; Pseudomonadati; Pseudomonadota; Gammaproteobacteria; Oceanospirillales; Halomonadaceae.
CCUACGGGUGGCAGCAGUGGGGAAUAUUGGACAAUGGGCGAAAGCCUGAUCCAGCCAUGCCGCGUGUGUGAAGAAGGCCUUCGGGUUGUAAAGCACUUUCAGUGGGGAAGAAAGCCUUGGGGCUAAUACCCUCGAGGAAGGACAUCACCCACAGAAGAAGCACCGGCUAACUCCGUGCCAGCAGCCGCGGUAAUACGGAGGGUGCGAGCGUUAAUCGGAAUUACUGGGCGUAAAGCGCGCGUAGGCGGUCUGAUAAGCCGGUUGUGAAAGCCCCGGGCUCAACCUGGGAACGGCAUCCGGAACUGUCAGGCUAGAGUGCAGGAGAGGACGGUAGAAUUCCCGGUGUAGCAGUGAAAUGCGUAGAGAUCGGGAGGAAUACCAGUGGCGAAGGCGGCCUUCUGGACUGACACUGACGCUGAGGUGCGAAAGCGUGGGUAGCAAACAGGAUUAGAUACCCGGGUAGUC